AAAAUAAAAAUGUCUAAUCAAGGGGCCAUUAGUAUAAAAUUACUCAAUAUAAAAUAGAACAAAAACAUUUUUACAGUUCUGUAAAUAUCAAUAAAAAUGCAUUAUCUAACUGUCCAUUAUUUUCCAUUUCUGGUGCAUAUGGGAGGAGAAACUUUUGAACGGAAUAACAGUGCUGCUGAAAGCCUGAAAACUAUCAGCACUCCAUUAGCUCCACUGGCUCUUAAGGCCAUCUCCUGUUACACCCCAGCAUCCAGGGGAUCGAUUUCUGGGCUUCAGUUUGCUCUCCAUGGGCCUCUAAUGGCAGACGAGAUGGGAGUCAGGAGUAAUACUAUACAUGCUGACAAGCUGCCUCCCGGAAGACAAAAAGAAAAGGGAGAGGUGGGAGGAGAGGGUAAGAGAUGAAAGCAGUUGCUACUGAAAACACUGAGAACAGGAAAGCAGAAAAGACUGGAGAUGUGACUGAAGAUGGAAAGAUGGGGAGAAGAGAGCAGAGAAGGAGUGGCUGAGUUAAAGACAAAGAGCAGGAGGAAGGAACUUGAGGAUGACUCCAAAAAGAAGAGCUCUUACAAGAAAAAAAAUCAGAGAAAACGGAGCCAAGAUGUGAGACAGACUUCAUUUCUUAAAAGAAAACUGGUUGCCCAGCUCUGUAAUGGUCCCCCUGUAAAUAUGACCGACCUGUCGAAGGAGUGGAACUGCAUGGGCAGCAUAGGAUGAGUCUUCAGAGCAGGGUCUGGGUGAUAGGGCGUUGGUCCGGACUCCUGACCCAGCUCUGUGCCAUCAAUGGGAGCCGCCACCAAGCUCUUUAGGAUCUCCUGCAUUUCAGAGGAAGAAACAAAGCUGGCCCAAACCGAGCCCACCGAGGCCCAACUCUGAGCCAUUUAGGGAUCCGGCUACAUGUCCUUCUUCUCCGAUGCCUGAAUCCGUGUGGGGGAGGCCGGCUAGCGGGGAGUCAUCCACCGGGGUAGGGGUCUGUUUG
Molecule: long non-coding RNA, 976 nt
Organism: Girardinichthys multiradiatus
Lineage: Eukaryota; Metazoa; Chordata; Actinopteri; Cyprinodontiformes; Goodeidae
Exons: 3
Source: RefSeq, a predicted model, not a curated record